AUUGAACGCUGGCGGCAGGCUUAACACAUGCAAGUCGAGCGGAGACUUCGGUCUUAGCGGCGAACGGGUGAGGAAUGCCUGGGAAUCUGCCUGUUAGUGGGGGAUAACGUUCCGAAAGGAACGCUAAUACCGCAUACGUCCUACGGGAGAAAGCAGGGGACCUUCGGGCCUUGCGCUAACAGAUGAGCCCAGGUCGGAUUAGCUAGUUGGUGGGGUAAAGGCUCACCAAGGCGACGAUCCGUAGCUGGUCUGAGAGGAUGAUCAGCCACACUGGAACUGAGACACGGUCCAGACUCCUACGGGAGGCAGCAGUGGGGAAUAUUGGACAAUGGGCGAAAGCCUGAUCCAGCCAUGCCGCGUGUGUGAAGAAGGCCUCGG
RNAcentral lists this ribosomal RNA (378 nucleotides) under uncultured bacterium. Its description in RNAcentral is "bacterial SSU rRNA". It matches the Rfam family "Bacterial small subunit ribosomal RNA", at positions 30 to 420 of the family's 1533-position model. The record is from RNAcentral.